AUGAACGCUGGCGGCGUGCUUAACACAUGCAAGUCGAACGAUGAAGCUCAGCUUGCUGGGUGGAUUAGUGGCGAACGGGUGAGUAACACGUGAGUAACCUGCCCUUAACUCUGGGAUAAGCCUGGGAAACUAGGUCCAAUACCGGAUAGGAGCGCCUACCGCAUGGUGGGUGUUGGAAAGAUUUAUCGGUUUUGGAUGGACUCGCGGCCUAUCAGCUUGUUGGUGAGGUAAUGGCUCACCAAGGCGACGACGGGUAGCCGGCCUGAGAGGGUGACCGGCCACACUGGGACUGAGACACGGCCCAGACUCCUACGGGAGGCAGCAGUGGGGAAUAUUGCACAAUGGGCGAAAGCCUGAUGCAGCGACGCCGCGUGAGGGAUGACGGCCUUCGGGUUGUAAACCUCUUUCAGUAGGGAAGAAGCGAAAGUGACGGUACCUGCAGAAGAAGCACCGGCUAACUACGUG
RNAcentral lists this ribosomal RNA (465 nucleotides) under uncultured bacterium. RNAcentral describes it as "partial 16S ribosomal RNA". It matches the Rfam family "Bacterial small subunit ribosomal RNA", at positions 29 to 507 of the family's 1533-position model. The record is from RNAcentral.